AGAUAUGGCCUCGAACCGGACGUCGCCGGAGACACAGGUAUGCUCGGCCGCCCUCUCUUCAGUGUCUCCGCCGUUACAAUGUGACGGAUUUUGCUCGGAAUGUUGUGAUGGAGAAGAAGACCGUGAUCCAGAUACGGAUUGCGGAGGUGGAGGUCGAACAGCAGGGGAGCUCGGAUCGUACGGUGGAUACAGAGCAUCGGAUUGAGAGUUUGUGUGCUGGAUUACUUGAUGGCCCUUCGACAGCAGUUUCUACUCCAGAGGAUACGGUGGCCGGAUCAUCAUCGCUCCCGGUGUCAGUGCGGAGACACGCAAGCAACUGAACAAUCGUGCUGUUCGCCUCCGCAUCCACCUUGAUUGAUCCACACAGGAUAGGAACUAAGAGGCGGCAGGGUGGUGUUUGCUACUGGAUUCUCUUAAACUUUCCUAGCUAUGCGUAACUGGAUUCUUGGAUUCUUAUUACUUUCCUAUAAAUCUGUAAAAUCUAAAACCAAUUUGGUUUUUCUUAUGAUAGAGUCUAGGGUUUGGUUGUUUGGUCUCUCAUGUUUCGUAUAUUUGAGAAUAGUAUGGCAUGGUAAUGGGAAUUGAGGAGCUUUGGUUUGAAUUGUGGUUUUAUAAGGUGUUUGUCAGUGCAAAAGUUUGAGUUCUGCCCUUGACAUGGAUUUCUGUUGUUCUUUAUAUUCAUCAUUUGUUAAUAUUGGUAGAAUCAUAGAAACACAGGUUGUUUAUGUUUGUAAAUUAGGAUAUGUAAAAAUUAAGUAAAAUGAUUCACAUUUGUAUAACCUUUAUCAUAUGAUAAGUACAGAAAAUGACCAACAGAGGUUAGGAGUUCGAACCUCAGUGGAGGCAGUGUGUGUGAGUCCCAACUAGGAAAAAAAAAAAAUAA
Long non-coding RNA from Cornus florida, 883 nucleotides. RefSeq lists it as uncharacterized. The transcript has 2 exons. NCBI's taxonomy places the organism in Eukaryota, Viridiplantae, Streptophyta, Magnoliopsida, Cornales, Cornaceae. The record is from RefSeq and is a predicted model, not a curated record.